UCACGAUAAUGGCAAACCUGUUGAAAGGCAGGGACGCAAAGCUACAGGGCCUUCUCUUAUGAUAAGAUGGCAGCCAGUUACCGAA
Molecule: non-coding RNA, 85 nt
Filed under: Paenibacillus sp. CECT 9249
Lineage: Bacteria; Bacillati; Bacillota; Bacilli; Caryophanales; Paenibacillaceae
Description: c-di-GMP-I
Rfam family: c-di-GMP-I riboswitch aptamer
About the family: GEMM was predicted in a large-scale screen for bacterial structured RNA regulatory elements.
Source: RNAcentral